GACGAACGCUGGCGGCGUGCUUAACACAUGCAAGUCGAACGGAAAGGCCCUGCUUGCAUGGUACUCGAGUGGCGAACGGGUGAGUAACACGUGGGUGAUCUGCCCUGCACUUCGGGAUAAGCCUGGGAAACUGGGUCUAAUACCGGAUAGGAGCCAUUUUUAGUGUGAUGGUUGGAUAGUUUUUUCGGUGUAGGAGGAGCUCGCGGCCUAUCAGCUUGGUGGUGGGGUAAUGGCCUACCAAGGCGGCGACGGGUAGCCGGCCCGAGAGGGUGGACGGCCACAUUGGGACCGGGAUACGGCCCAGACUCCUACGGGAGGCAACAGUGGGGAAAAUUGCACAAAGGGCGCAAGCCUGAUGCAGCGACGCCGCGUGGGGGAUGACGGCCUUCGGGUUGUAAACUCCUUUCGCUAGGGACGAAGCUUUUUGUGACGGUACCUAGAUAAGAAGCACCGGCUAACUACGUG
This 465-nucleotide ribosomal RNA is filed under the name uncultured bacterium. RNAcentral describes it as "partial 16S ribosomal RNA". It matches the Rfam family "Bacterial small subunit ribosomal RNA", at positions 28 to 507 of the family's 1533-position model. The record is from RNAcentral.